GACAGAGGGUGCGAACGUUGUUCGGAUAUACUGGGCGUAAAGCGCACGUAGGCGGCGCAGCAAGUCAGGGGUGAAAUCCCGGAGCUCAACUCCGGAACUGCCUUUGAAACUGCAGUGCUAGAAUCCUGGAGAGGCGAGUGGAAUUCCGAGUGUAGAGGUGAAAUUCGUAGAUAUUCGGAAGAACACCAGUGGCGAAGGCGACUCGCUGGACAGGUAUUGACGCUGAGGUGCGAAAGCGUGGGGAGCAAACAGG
RNAcentral lists this ribosomal RNA (253 nucleotides) under uncultured bacterium. Its description in RNAcentral is "partial 16S ribosomal RNA". It matches the Rfam family "Bacterial small subunit ribosomal RNA", at positions 524 to 776 of the family's 1533-position model. The record is from RNAcentral.